This 203-nucleotide small nucleolar RNA is filed under the name Glycine max (soybean). RNAcentral describes it as "snoRNA Plant_U3". Lineage: Eukaryota; Viridiplantae; Streptophyta; Magnoliopsida; Fabales; Fabaceae. The record is from RNAcentral.
UCGGACACGGCAAGGGGUUGGAGUGUCCGUGCUUCAUAGGACAGGAACCUACGUCUGGUGGAUGAACAAUGACGGUGAGAUCAGAGCGAGUGAUUAACGGCCUGAUGAGCUUUUCUGUGGAGGGGUCUCAAUCUUGGGCUGUAGAGGAUCGUUCUCAGACAGUUUCACUUAUCCGGGAUGGUGACAUAGAUGUCUGACAGAUC